UUAUCAAUAAUCUUCUUCUCCUUUAGAUCUGCAAUUCUGCUUCUUGCGAAAACCAAACCCUACCUUAGGUUUUCAUCAAAAUUUGGUUUUAAUGGAAGGUAAUGCCUUCCCUCGCUACUUCAGACAUCCUAUCCGAAAUUUAUUGCGAAAAAACGUAAAGAAAUCCUCAUCUUCGUCAUCAACCUUACAAUCGUCGUCGUCGUCGUCGUCGUCGAUCUUACAAUCGUCAUCGUCCUCUGGUGCUUCUUUACCAGGUAAAUUCGUAUGUAUCUGUGUAUAUACAGUCGAUAAGUAUGAGUGGUACACUUUUGAUGUCUCCGAUGAUAUUCGACACAACCAAACUCCUCCUCCUGCUAAAUACAUUAACUACCGUGUUCCUUUUCACGAUGACGAUGAAUCCGGACUUGUAAAUCUCAAACCUAAAGUCACUGCCAAUAUGGAUUGGAUUCUAGGUUGGUCAAUUUUGGGUUUGACAUUAUAUAUUCUUGAUGAUUGGACUGGUGAUUGGAGAGGAUCGUCUGUUAAAAACGAAAGCAAUCGAGUGGAUCGAAUUGAUCUAGUUAGUACUAGGUCGAAAUGGGAGAGAGUUCCUCAAAUGCCUAAUCAGAUUGCUGUGUUGGCUCAUACUUUUGUUCUUGCCGGCAAGUUUUAUUGCCUGGGUGGGUUUCGAUCCAAAAAGGGAGAGUUGGAGAGGGAAUCGCUGUUUGCCAUGGCUUACGACUUGAGCGUAAAAGCUGGUGACUCGUUACCGAGCCCCCCAUGUAUUAACCUUGAUGAAAUAUUCUCAGGAGCUAAAGAGGUCCCCAACCCAUGUUUUCCCUCUCAAAAGAUGGAUUUGGAGAGGCUGUCACUACGGGACAACAAAUCUUCACUAGAUGAAGAGGGCACCAACCCGUGUUUGCCCUCUCAAAAGAUAGAUUUGGAGAGGCCGUUAUCGUUCCCCAUGGCUCCCGACGACAGUCUAUUUGGCUCUACAUGGCUUGAAAUAAGCCCAGCAGGUGAAGAGCUCGGCAACUCAUAUUCUCAAAACAUGGAGUUGGAGAGACAUAAACCGUGGGUCAUGGCUUACGACCCGAGCCUAAAUACAUGGGAAUCUCUACCUGACCCUCCAAGUUGUCCCGUUAAGGUUGACAGUAUAUUCUCAGCCGCUGGAGAGUUCCCCAAUCCAUGUAUUGUAGUGGGUUCACCUGGGGAUGGUCUCCAAAUCUACCAAGUAAAUGCCAAAAAGUGGGAAAAACAAGAGUUUAAAAUAUGCCCAAAGUUUGGCCCAAAUGUGUUAACAGGGCCAGCUUUGGCUGUUGACAGUAAGUUGUAUUGGUAUUCAGUCCAUGAUCUAAGCCUAGUUGGAUAUGAUUUAGUGACGUCAAUGUGGUUUGUGGGCAAUUUCCCUAUCCAUGACCAUGGCGAGCAUUUUGGAGUACGAGAUGUUGACACUCCUCCACGCUUGGCUCAUCUAGGUGGCGACAUGUUUUGCUUGCUGUGGGUUUCUGUGUUGCCGCGCAGGCGAAUGAAGAUUUCGGAGUCCAAAGAUGACUAUAUUUCUCGCCUUCACUGUAUGAAGCUUCGAGUUACCACUGAAAACUUUCACCCAGUGAAUGGAAUUAUUCCCUUGGAGGUCUCUAUCCUGUCGUGCCAAUCUUACUUGGCUUCUGGAUUGAAGUUUUUCCGUGGUGGCUUGGUGGUGCUGCAGAAUGCCCCAAAAAAUGAAUUCUAGAAAAAAAUAAAAAGAAAGGCCGAAGAAAGAAGAAGACAAAGUGCGAAGAAGUGAGAAGAACACACUCUGUUGUGUUGGAGAUCAGAGUUGGUGUGGUGAUCAACGUUGAAGGUUUGAGACUUUGUGCUUCUUUCAUUUCUUUAGAAACAUUGGUGUUCUGCUACAGCUCACAAAUAUUUAUAGUUAGGGCUAUCAAAAGGUCUGUUAAAUAUUUGGUACAAUUAUAAAAGUCAACAAAAUGGAUGGCGCCUCGCACUACAGCCUAAUGCGCUCACUUUUCUCACCUAGGUGUCGGCUCACUAUUCAAGCCAUUAUAUGCACCAUAGGGUCAACUUGAGUCCCUUCUCGCUAAGGGUUUUGCCUAAGCGUGCUUUUCACAACACUAUUACAAAUUUAACAGACUAACCUGGUAUCAUCUAUGGCUCACGUGUCUUAUAGUUAGGACCUAUUAGCCUUGAGUGGGCCCAAGGUUAUGCCGUGGGGCUCUUCUCUCGCCCAUAUUUUUACUUCUAUUUGAUUUUUAUGGCUAUCAUUCUAAUUGGGUGUUGAUAUUGUAGUGAUGCUCAUUCAAGAUACUUUCAUGCCUGACAACAGUUGGUGGUAUGUUAGCAUUUCCUUUAUUUUUCCCAUUGCAACACACCAUUUUUUCUCCUUUUGAUUGUAAUCAUUUUGAAACCUACUUUUAUUGUUAUGGUAGAUUUUAGGUGUAGUGAACAUCUAAGAAGCACUGAUACUCCAAAUCAGGUGUUGUAGUGGUGUCGGUCAUGGGGACACCCCACAUGGUGUUUCUUUUUAUUUAAUUAAUUUGUUUUUAAGGGACACGCUAGAGGACACAUUAGCUAGUUUUUUUUUCUUUCUUCUUUAGUGCUUUUAAUGGAUGAUGGAUAUUAAAUGUUUGUUACCAUUUGCUUAGA
Molecule: non-coding RNA, 2628 nt
Organism: Camellia sinensis
Lineage: Eukaryota; Viridiplantae; Streptophyta; Magnoliopsida; Ericales; Theaceae
Source: RefSeq, a predicted model, not a curated record